Molecule: long non-coding RNA, 102 nt
Organism: Thalassophryne amazonica
Lineage: Eukaryota; Metazoa; Chordata; Actinopteri; Batrachoidiformes; Batrachoididae
Exons: 3
Source: RefSeq, a predicted model, not a curated record
GCCAAAGCUGAUACCCAUUUACAGCUGAGUGGAAUGAGACAAAGGAGAUUAAGUGUCUCAUCCAAGGACGCAGUCAGGCAGCAAGACUUUAGCACACACCUG